UAGGACUCUCGGCAAUGGAUAUCUUGGCUCUUGCAUCGAUGAAGAGCGCAGCGAAAUGCGAUACGUGGUGUGAAUUGCAGAAUCCCGUGAACCAUCGAGUUUUUGAACGCAAGUUGCGCCCGAGGCCAAUUGGCUAAGGGCACGUCUGCCUGGGCGUCAAGC
RNAcentral lists this ribosomal RNA (162 nucleotides) under Pterostylis sanguinea. RNAcentral's name for it is "5.8S ribosomal RNA". It matches the Rfam family "5.8S ribosomal RNA". From Rfam's summary of the family: 5.8S ribosomal RNA (5.8S rRNA) is a component of the large subunit of the eukaryotic ribosome. It is transcribed by RNA polymerase I as part of the 45S precursor that also contains 18S and 28S rRNA. The record is from RNAcentral. RNAcentral also lists the same sequence under 1 other name. Lineage: Eukaryota; Viridiplantae; Streptophyta; Magnoliopsida; Asparagales; Orchidaceae.